CCUAUGGGAGGCAGCAGUGGGGAAUCUUCCGCAAUGGGCGAAAGCCUGACGGAGCAAUGCCGCGUGAGUGAAGAAGGCCUUCGGGUUGUAAAACUCUGUCCUUAUCGAAGAGAGGUGGGUAUGUGAAUAAUGUACUCAUAGGACGGUAGAUAAGGAGGAAGCCCCGGCUAACUACGUGCCAGCAGCCGCGGUAAUACGUAGGGGGCGAGCGUUGUCCGGAAUCACUGGGCGUAAAGGGAGCGUAGACGGCCAGACAAGUCUGAAGUGAAAAUCCAGCGCUUAACGUUGGAAGUGCUUUGGAAACU
Molecule: ribosomal RNA, 305 nt
Filed under: uncultured bacterium
Lineage: Bacteria
Description: bacterial SSU rRNA
Rfam family: Bacterial small subunit ribosomal RNA
Source: RNAcentral